AACGCACAUUGCGCCCUUUGGUAUUCCGAAGGGCAUGCCUGUUCGAGCGUCAUUAUCACCUCUCAAGCCUGGCUUGUUGUUGGACCUCUCGGUCUGGGUUCACCCCCGACCGGUCCCAAAAGUAAUGACGGCGUCGCGUAGACUCUCGGUGCAACGAGCUUUUUCCAAGGCACGCACGGAGUUGAAAGGUCUUCCGGCACGGUCUCACACCUAUUUUCUCAAGGUUGACCUCGGAUCAGGUAGGAAUACCCGCUGAACUUAA
This 262-nucleotide unclassified non-coding RNA is filed under the name Ochrocladosporium sp. RNAcentral's name for it is "partial contains 5.8S ribosomal RNA, internal transcribed spacer 2, and large subunit ribosomal RNA". The stretch from base 1 to 52 matches the Rfam family "5.8S ribosomal RNA", at positions 103 to 154 of the family's 154-position model. RNAcentral also lists the same sequence under 1 other name. Lineage: Eukaryota; Fungi; Ascomycota; Dothideomycetes; Pleosporales. The record is from RNAcentral.